Gallus gallus (chicken) is the source of this 928-nucleotide long non-coding RNA. The record is from Ensembl. Lineage: Eukaryota; Metazoa; Chordata; Aves; Galliformes; Phasianidae.
CAUUCCUUGACACUAUUUGCCCUUAAUCUGGGAACCAGUAAGAACAACCACAAGUUGCUAUUCCUGUGUACCUAAAGAUAUGGGAAAAAAUAUUAGUUCAGAGACAAUAUGUUAUCUUAUUUUAUAAUGUAUAUACCCUUUUUGGCUAUUCCCUCAUGAGCACAGUGGUCUUCGAUGCUCAAGAUGAAGAAAGAAUCCCUAAGUAGGAAGAUACUUAUAUUUUCAGAUAAAACUAUGUUCUUGGAACCAGGUGGACCUACCCAUAUCUUACUAUCAUAUUGUUUCUAAGAUGCCCUCUUGCAGUACUGGUGAAGCCUUACAAAGCAGAAUCAACUUCCUGGAAGACCUUUUUGCAAGGACAACUACAUGAUAAACGUAUUUCUGGAGACCCUGACGAAGAGUCUGCCACCCUCCCUUUGGAUACCGAAAGGCCGCUCUCAGAUCUCCCUGCACAGCCCCAGCUCUCUCAGCCUGCCUUUGUAAGAGAGGUGUUCCAUCACUGGAUCAUUUUGUGACCCUCCUCUGGACAUGUACAGGUCCAUGUCUCUCCUGUACUGACGCCACAUCUGGAUGCAGUACUCCAGGUUAAAAGCACCUGAUUAAUUCAAAUUCUGUGAAUAAAAGCACGGAGUCCCAUUUUGGAGGUUUCACAGGGAGUGGUGCCCAGACUACAGGAGCAAUCAAAAGGCUGUGAAACAAUGAAGUCUCCAUAGUUUCUGGCAAUACCAUGAGAUGUUUCAUGGCUCUGCUCUGCCAGGUAUGGCAUCUGUAUGUGGCAUAGAGGGUAAAGUCAGCCCAGCUGUGAAACAGGUGAUCCUGCUUACCUCAGUGGAUGCUCCUGAAGAGCAUCUGCAUCCUGUGGCUGUCUUUGGGCUUCAAGAGGACACUCCCCACGCAGACAUUUCCAAACUGCUUGACAAGGAGAAUA